UACGUAGGGUGCGAGCGUUAAUCGGAAUUACUGGGCGUAAAGCGUGCGCAGGCGGUUCGUUGUGUCGGCGGUGAAAGCCCCGGGCUUAACCUGGGAAUGGCCGUUGAAACUGGCGAACUGGAGUGUGGCAGAGGGGGGUGGAAUUCCGCGUGUAGCAGUGAAAUGCGUAGAGAUGCGGAGGAACACCGAUGGCGAAGGCAGCCCCCUGGGCUAACACUGACGCUCAGGCACGAAAGCGUGGGGGAGCAAACAGG
This 254-nucleotide ribosomal RNA is filed under the name uncultured bacterium. RNAcentral's name for it is "partial 16S ribosomal RNA". It matches the Rfam family "Bacterial small subunit ribosomal RNA", at positions 524 to 776 of the family's 1533-position model. The record is from RNAcentral.